GAGCAUGUCGUGAAAGACGCACACGGGGCGGGCGUGCUUCGACCGUGUCUCCGGGGCACAGUUGAAUGUAGAUAUCAUGAACGCGAGGUGCAGGAUACCAGGCCGAGAAACCCGGCCCCUUUCUGGCAGCCCUAUCUCCUACUCUGUUUGUUCUUUGCUUUGCCUACACUACAGCACCUGUUCCUCUUUGAUCUAGUGGUAUUUCAGCCGUGUACA
RNAcentral lists this long non-coding RNA (216 nucleotides) under Phoenix dactylifera (date palm). RNAcentral describes it as "long non-coding RNA (PDAC_LNC008647)". Lineage: Eukaryota; Viridiplantae; Streptophyta; Magnoliopsida; Arecales; Arecaceae. The record is from RNAcentral.